CGCUAUUGAAUGCACAACAAUGUCAACAAUGUCGUUGUAAUUGAACUGUAAAAUGUAAAAUACUAAAAUUUGAUCAAACCGCCCUUUUUUGAUUAGUAAUAUAAUAAUAAAUUUAAUUACACAUUCGUGCUCCUAAAAUAGACUUCCACCGGGUGUUUUAUCCUAAAAUUUCUUUCACUUUAUGACAUCGACUCGGAGUAGGCGGUGCUUUUUGAGCUAAACUCGUAAAUCGCUGACAGAAAAAGUUUGACUCAAACGAGGACAGGAUCGUAGGUUAAAUAAAAAUUACAUUAGCACAAGAAAAGAUGGACCGAACUCUUGACGGUUGGAGCACCAUGAUUUCGUGUGCGAACGAGAACAACAUAAAUACGGGUAUUGCGGCCGAGGAUGACAAUCUUAACUUUCGGCAGUUCUCUAACCUGUGGCUGGACCUAAGUGAUUCGACUAGACGCAUGUUGGAUUCUCCGAAUUGUCCCAAUAAUAUUCAAUUUAUGAAUGCGGAGGAUCCAGCUGUUCGCCCUAUGGCCGACCAAGAGGAGCCACAAGUCUAGCCUCCACCACAACGAGAAUCAUAAAAUUAAAAUAUAAAACAAAUAUUUCAUUAAAAACAGUCAUUGAACCGCAUAUUUAAUGACUUCUUCUCCUGUAUUGGACGUAUUUUGAAUACGAAGAAUAUCUGUUAUUUAUAAGACAUUUUGUUACAAACAUAUCCCCACUUUUAUAAUAUCCCUGUCCCCAAGGCAAACAGAGAAUAAAAAAAGAGAAUUUAAAUAU
Drosophila obscura is the source of this 774-nucleotide long non-coding RNA. RefSeq lists it as uncharacterized. The transcript is spliced from 2 exons. The record is from RefSeq and is a predicted model, not a curated record. Lineage: Eukaryota; Metazoa; Arthropoda; Insecta; Diptera; Drosophilidae.